RNAcentral lists this ribosomal RNA (256 nucleotides) under uncultured prokaryote. Its description in RNAcentral is "partial 16S ribosomal RNA". It matches the Rfam family "Bacterial small subunit ribosomal RNA", at positions 522 to 777 of the family's 1533-position model. The record is from RNAcentral.
AAGACAGAGGGGGCAAGCGUUGCUCGGAAUUACUGGGCGUAAAGGGCGCGUAGGCGGAAUGGCAAGUCGGUCGUGAAAUCCUUCGGCUCAACCGAAGAACGUCGAUCGAAACUGCCGUUCUUGAGGAUUGCAGAGGAGACUGGAAUUCCCGGUGUAGCGGUGAAAUGUGUAGAGAUCGGGAGGAACACCGGUGGCGAAGGCGGGUCUCUGGGCAAUUCCUGACGCUGAGGCGCGAAAGCGUGGGGAGCAAACGGGA